Molecule: transfer RNA, 65 nt
Filed under: Caulobothrium sp. MZUSP 8009
Lineage: Eukaryota; Metazoa; Platyhelminthes; Cestoda; Tetraphyllidea
Description: tRNA-Tyr
Source: RNAcentral
UCUGGUUUAACAUAUAUUAAUGUGUAAAAUUUAUCAAGUCUUUUGCUUGUUUAUACCGUAAUUUA